AAUGGGUUCCUCCCUCAGCAGAUAAAACCAGCCCUGCCAUCACCCUGCAGCUCUGGCAAGGAGCCCAGCCCCAGGAUCCCGUUCUGUGAUCCGGAAAGAACACAGACCACCCGCCAUGGAGUUUCGGCUGAACUGGGUGGUCUUGUUUGCUCUCUUACAAGGUGUCCAGGGUGAGGAGAAGCUGGUGGAGUCUGGAGGAGGCCUGGUGCAGCCUGGGGGGUCUCUGAGACUCUCCUGUGUCGGCUCUGGAAUCACCUUCAGUAGUUAUGCAGUGAGCUGGGUCCGCCAGGCUCCAGGGAAGGGGCUGGAGUGGCUGGCAGGUAUUGAUAGUGGUAGUUAUAGUGGUAGCACCUACUACGCAGACUCUGUGAAGGGCCGAUUCACCAUCUCCAGAGACGACUCCCAGAACACGGCCUAUCUGCAAAUGACCAGCCUGAGAACAGAAGACACGGCCCGCUAUUACUGUGCAGGAUGCACAGUGAGGGGAAGGGAGUCUGAGCCCAGACAAAAACCUCCCUUCAGGGACACAGGUUCUGGGCUACAGGGGGUGCUCAGGACCAACAACCACUAUGUGUGUGCUUCAUGCCCAGGAGCAGCCCUGGCAGAGGAGCCCCUGCCCCAGCAGGCCCAGCUGCUCCCACUGUGUGAUCAGGCCUGA
Sus scrofa (pig) is the source of this 658-nucleotide non-coding RNA. The record is from the annotation of a RefSeq genome assembly. NCBI's taxonomy places the organism in Eukaryota, Metazoa, Chordata, Mammalia, Artiodactyla, Suidae.